AUUGAACGCUGGCGGCAGGCCUAACACAUGCAAGUCGAGCGGAUGAAGGGAGCUUGCUCCUGGAUUCAGCGGCGGACGGGUGAGUAAUGCCUAGGAAUCUGCCUGAUAGUGGGGGAUAACGUCCGGAAACGUGCGCUAAUACCGCAUACGUUCUGAGUGAGAAAGUGGGGGAUCUUCGGACCUCACGCUAUCAGAUGAGCCUAGGUCGGAUUAGCUAGUUGGUGGGGUAAAGGCCUACCAAGGCGACGAUCCGUAACUGGUCUGAGAGGAUGAUCAGUCACACUGGAACUGAGACACGGUCCAGACUCCUACGGGAGGCAGCAGUGGGGAAUAUUGGACAAUGGGCGAAAGCCUGAUCCAGCCAUGCCGCGUGUGUGAAGAAGGUCUUCGGAUUGUAAAGCACUUUAAGUUGGGAGGAAGGGCAGUAAGUUAAUACCUUGCUGUUUUGACGUUACCAACAGAAUAAGCACCGGCUAACUUCGUG
This 484-nucleotide ribosomal RNA is filed under the name uncultured bacterium. RNAcentral describes it as "partial 16S ribosomal RNA". It matches the Rfam family "Bacterial small subunit ribosomal RNA", at positions 30 to 507 of the family's 1533-position model. The record is from RNAcentral.